Molecule: long non-coding RNA, 4705 nt
Filed under: Salmo salar (Atlantic salmon)
Lineage: Eukaryota; Metazoa; Chordata; Actinopteri; Salmoniformes; Salmonidae
Description: lncRNA (ENSSSAG00000086012.1)
Source: RNAcentral
GGUCAGAUUUCUACAGAUAAUUAUGAUGAAUUAGGCUUAUUGAUCAGGUCAGAUUUCUACAGAUAAUUAUGAUGAAUUAGGGUUAUUGAUAAGGUCAGAUUUCUCCAGAUAAUUAUGAUGAAUUAGGCUUAUCGAUCAGGUCAGAUUUCUACAGAUAAUUAUGAUGAAUUAGGCUUAUUGAUCAGGUCAGAUUUCUACAGAUAAUUAUGAUGCAUUAGGCUUAUUGAUCAGGUCAGAUUUCUCCAGAUAAUUAUGAUGAAUUAGGCUUAUUGAUCAGGCCAGAUUUCUACAGAUAAUUAUGAUGAAUUAGGCUUAUUGAUCAGGUCAGAUUUCUCCAGAUAAUUAUGAUGAAUUAGGGUUAUCGAUCAGGUCAGAUUUCUACAGAUAAUUAUGAUGAAUUAGGGUUAUUGAUCAGGUCAGAUUUCUCCAGAUAAUUAUGAUGAAUUAGGGUUAUUGAUCAGGUCAGAUUUCUCCAGAUAAUUAUGAUGAAUUAGGGUUAUUGAUCAGGUCAGAUUUCUCCAGAUAAUUAUGAUGAAUUAGGCUUAUUGAUCAGGCCAGAUUUCUACAGAUAAUUAUGAUGAAUUAGGCUUAUUGAUCAUUUGUUCUACCAGGUUCUAUCUGUCCGUCUCCAUCCACGAUUACAGCGAACACAUUAACAUAUCUAGCUAUACCCCUCUCAGUACAAACAAGACUCAUGAAUGAGAGUUGAGUGACACAGAAUAAUCGUGUAAUUUAGCAGACAAGUGCACGUCGUAACAGCUAAUAAUAUUGUCUCCUGCCUGUCUGUGCAAAACAGCUGACGAUACGCAGGAUCCCAGAUUUGAAAAACACUGGUGGAUUCUUGUCGUUUCUUUGACGUUUGUUAGUUUGAGCUUGAAAACUGGAAUUGUGGGCCUUUUUCAUUCUCAAAAGGGAUUGAGAAUAUUUUACUAGUGAAGCCACUUGCAGGUCGGACUAUAUUUCAGACUUCUCAGCACGACCAGUGCCAGCAGAAUGAUGGACACUAUGGAUAAUAAUCAGUGGUGUAAAGUAGUAAAAAUACUUUAAAGUACUACUUAAGUAGUUUUUUUGGGGGGUAUCUGUACUUUACUUUACUAUUUAUAUUUUAACUUUUCCUUUUAUUUCACUAAAUUCCUGAAGAAAAUAAUGUACUUUUUUUCUAAUGUACUCCAUACAUUUUCCCUGACACCCAAAAGUACUCGACAGGAAAAUGGUCCAAUUCACACACUUAUCAAGAGAACAUCCCUGGUCAUCUCUACUGCCUCUGAUCUGGAGGACUCACUAAACAGAGAACAUCCCUGGUCAUCCCUACUGCCUCUGAUCUGGAGGACUCACUAAACAGAGAACAUCUCUGGUCAUCCCUACUGCCUCUGAUCUGUAGGACUCACUAAACAGAGAACAUCCCUGGUCAUCCCUACUGCCUCUGAUCUGGAGGACUCACUAAACAGAGAACAUCCCUGGUCAUCCCUACUGCCUCUGAUCUGGAGGACUCACUAAACAGAGAACAUCCCUGGUCAUCCCUACUGCCUCUGAUCUGGAGGACUCACUAAACAGAGAACAUCCCUGGUCAUCCCUACUGCCUCUGAUCUGGUGGAAUCACUAAACACAAAUACUUUGUUUGUAAAUGAUUGUCCAAGUGUUGGAGUGUGCUGCUGGCUAUUCGUAAAUAAAAAAAACAAGAUAAUCGUGCCGUCUGGUUUGCUUAAUAUAAGGAAAUUGAAAUUAUUUACAGUACCAAUCAAACAUUUGGACACCAACUCAUUCCAGGGUUUGUCUUGUAGAAUAAUAGUGAAGACAUCAAAACUAUGAAAUAACACAUAUGGAAUCAUGUAGUACCCCAUUUUUUUUUUUAAAACAAAUCCAAAUAUAUUUUAGAUUUUAGAUUUAGACACUCUUGGCAUUCUAUCAACCAGCUUCAUGAGGCAGUCACCUGGAAUGCAUUUCAAUUAACAGGUGUGCCUUGUGAAAAGAUAAUGCGUUUGAGCCAAUCAGUUGUGUUGUGACAAGGUAGGGAUGGGUAUACAGAAGAUAGCACUAUUUGGUAAAAUACCACUUUGACAGUCCAUCAUUACUUUAAGACAUGAAGGUCAGUCAAUCUGGAGAAUUUCAAGAACUUUGAAAGUUUCUUCAAGUGCAGUCGCAGAAACCGUCAAGCGCUAUGAUGAAACUGGCUCUCAUGAGGACCGCCACAGCAAAGGAAGACCCAGAGUUACCUCUGCUGUAGAGGAUAAGUUCAUUAGAGUUAACUGCACCUCAGAUUGCAGCCCAAAUAAAUGCUUCACAGAGUUCAAGUAACAGACACAUCUCAACAUCAGAGGAGACUGUGUGAAUCAGGCCUUCAUGGUUGAAUUGCUGCAAAGAAACCACUACUAAAGGACACCAAUGUGGGGAAGAGACUUGCUUGGGCCAAGAAACCCGAGCAAUGGACAUUAGACUGGUGGAAAUCUGUUCCUUGGUAUGAUGAGUCCAGAUUUGAGAUUUUUGUCUUUUUGAGACGCAGAGUAGGUGAAUGGAUGAUCUCCGCAUGUGUGGUUCCCACCGUGAAGCAUGGAGGAGGAGGUGUGAUGAUGUGGGGGUGCUUUGCUGGUGACACUGUGGGUGAUUUAUUUAGGAUUCAAGGCACACUUAACCAGCAUGGCUACCACAGCAUUCUGCAGCGAUACGCCAUCCCAUCUGGUCUGGGUUUAGGGGGACUAUCAUUUGUUGUUCAACAGGACAAUGACCCAACACACCUCCAGGCUGUGUAAGGGCUGUUUGACCAAGAAGGAGAGUGAUGGAGUGCUGCAUCAGAUGACCUGGCCUCCACAAUCACCUGACCUCUACCCAACUGAGAUGGUUUGGGAUGAGUUGGACCGCAGAGUGAAGGAAAAGCAGCCAACAAGUGCUCAGCAUAUGUGGGAACUCCUUCAAGACUGUUGGAAAAGCAUUCCUCAUGAAGCUGGUUGAGAGAAUGCCAAGAGUGUACAAAGCUGUCAUCAAGGCAAAGGGUGGCAACUUUAUAUAAAAUAUAUUUUGAUUUGUUUAGCACUUUUUUGGUUACUACAUGAUUCCAUAUGUGUUAUUUCAUAGUUUUGAUGUCUUCGCUAUUAUUCUACAAUGUAGAAAAUAGUAAAAAAUAAAGAAAAACCCUGGAAUGAGUAGGUGUCUAAACUUUUGACUGGUAAUGUAUACUCUUACUUUUGAUCCUUCAGUACAUUUAAAAACAAAUACUUUAAGAUUUUUCCUCAAGUAGUAUUUUACCGGGUGAAUUUCACUUUUACUUUAGUCAUUUUCUAUUAAGAUAUCUUUACUUUUACUCAAGUAGGACAAUUUUGGUACUUUUUCCACCACUGAUAAUAAUCACAAAAGCCAGCUCUGUCUACUGGUAAGUGAAGCAAGCUCGCUAGCUAGCAAACAGAUCAACACACGAUUGCUUGCAAAUGUGCAUAGCAUACCAGUGGGUGAUUAGCCUAUAGAAAAAUAAAUGUUUGCAAACUUUGCUGGAGUUGCUAGCUGGUUGAUGUAAUUGUUUUCCUCUUGGAUGUGGAGUUUAUUUUCGCAACUUUUCUAAUGGCGAAUUUAUUCAACCCGAUGGUCGCUGAGGGUCGACUUUGUCAGGCAAGUGUUUGCACUGCUUGAGAUCAAGCAGAUAACGGACCUCCUGUUGCUUAGAAUGAUAUUUUACUGCUGGAACGUCCAUAGCUAGACUCCACUUGUAAAUUGUCAUUUUUAAAGAGCAGACUAACCUGCAAGCUUGUUGUAGGCUGCAAGCAAACGAGAACACCAGCUGUAUGAUACUGACUGAUUGGGCGGCAGGUAGCCUAGUGGUUAGAGCAGGUAGCCUAGUGGUUAGAGCACGUAGCCUAGUGGUUAGAGCAGGUAGCCUAGUGGUUAGAGCAGGUAGCCUAGUGGUUAGAGUGUUGAGCCAGUAACCGAAAGGUUGUUUGCUGGAUCAAAUCCCCGAGCUGACAAGGUAAAAAAAAUUGUCGUUCUGCCCCUGAACAAGGCAGUUAACCCACUGUUCCCCGGUAGGCUGUCAAUGUAAAUAUGAAUUUGUUCUUAACUUCUUUGGGAUAGGGGGCAGUAUUUUCACGGCCAGAUAAAAAACAUACCCGAUUUAAUCUGGUUACUACUCCUGCCCAGAUACUAGAAUAUGCAUAUAAUUAGUAGAUUUGGAUAGAAAACACUCUAAAGUUUCUGAAACUGUUUGAAUGGUGUCUGUGAGUAUAACAGAACUCAUAUGGCAGGCCAAAACCUGAGAAGAUUCCAUGCAGGAAGUGCCCUGUCUGACAAUUUGUUGUCCUUCUGUUACAUCUCUAUCGAAAUUACAGCAUCUGUGCUGUAACGUGACACUUUCUUAGGCUUCCAUUGGCUCUCUAAAGCCGCCAGAAAGUGGAAUGGGGUGUCUGCUGUCUCUGGGCAAAGUAUAGGAGCAGAGUUUGUAAGUGGUCAGCCUGGGGACAGUGAGACUGGAGAUGCGCGGUCACGAGAACUCGCCAUGUUUUUCUUUCUCUCUUUGAAUGAAUACAACGUUGCCCGGUUGGAAUAUUAUCGCUAUUUUACGAGAAAAAUAGCAUAAAAAUUGAUUUUAAACAGCGUUUGACAUGCUUCUAAGUACGGUAAUGGAAUAUUUUGACAUUUUUUGUCACGAAAUGCGCUCGCGCGUUACCCUUCGGAUAGUGACCUGAACGCACGAACAAAACGGAGGUAUUUGGAUAUAACUAUG